This 253-nucleotide ribosomal RNA is filed under the name uncultured bacterium. Its description in RNAcentral is "partial 16S ribosomal RNA". It matches the Rfam family "Bacterial small subunit ribosomal RNA", at positions 524 to 776 of the family's 1533-position model. The record is from RNAcentral.
UACGUAGGGGGCAAGCGUUGUCCGGAUUUAUUGGGCGGAAAGAGCGUGUAGGCGGCUUGGUAGGUCCGCUGUGAAAACUCGAGGCUCAACCUCGAGAUGUCGGCGGAAACCACUUGGCUAGAGUCCGGAAGAGGAGAGUGGAAUUCCCGGUGUAGCGGUGAAAUGCGCGGAUAUCGGGAAGAACACCUAUGGCGAAGGCAGCUCUCUGGGACGGUACUGACGCUGAGACGCGAAAGCGUGGGGAGCGAACAGG